RNAcentral lists this ribosomal RNA (498 nucleotides) under uncultured Glomeromycotina. Its description in RNAcentral is "partial small subunit ribosomal RNA". It matches the Rfam family "Eukaryotic small subunit ribosomal RNA", at positions 591 to 1092 of the family's 1831-position model. Lineage: Eukaryota; Fungi; Glomeromycota. The record is from RNAcentral.
CCAAUAGCGUAUAUUAAAGUUGUUGCAGUUAAAAAGCUCGUAGUUGAAUUUCGGGGUUCUUCCGUUGGUCAGGCUAACAAGUCUGUACUAGCGUGUAGAAUUCCUACCUUCUGGGGAACCAUCAUGUUAUUAAUUUAGCGUGGUGGGAAACCAGGACCUUUACCUUGAAAAAAUUAGAGUGUUCAAAGCAGGCUUACGUCUGAAUACAUUAGCAUGGAAUAAUAAAAUAGGACGGUGGUCCUGUUUUGUUGGUUUCUGAAUCACCGUAAUGAUUAAUAGGGAUAGUUGGGGGCAUUAGUAUUCAAUUGUCAGAGGUGAAAUUCUUGGAUUUAUUGAAGACUAACUUCUGCGAAAGCAUUUGCCAAGGAUGUUUUCAUUAAUCAAGAACGAAAGUUAGGGGAUCGAAGACGAUCAGAUACCGUCGUAGUCUUAACCAUAAACUAUGCCGACUAGGGAUCGGACGAUGUUAAAUUUUAUUGACUCGUUCGGCGCCUUACG